AUCAAGCAGAAAGGAAAAAGGAAAUCAGUGCAACACCAAAUUUUCAGGAUGUUACCCACUAAAUUUGCAUGAUGUUAUAGUAUAAAUCAGUAUAGUAUGAAAAAGGAAACCAAACAAUCAGUGUAGUAUAAAUUCAAGAAACCAAACAUUUUAGGGAAACUAAGACCAAUCAGUCUUAGUUUGGUCCUGCUUCUGCGUCCUUUCGAUUUCCCAUUUAGCUAACUUCUUUUGUAACCCCCACUCUUUCGAGCUUCAUAAAAAAGGAAAAUAUGCAAAAAUUGAUUUCUAAGAUACCAAACUAAGACGAAUUCAGAAAUGGGAUAUGAAACACUAACCUUAGUGCAACGCUCUGCCGGAAAAAGAUAUAGAAAACUGAGUUUUGACGGGCUCAGUCGUGUGGGCGUGACUGCGUGAGUCAUGAGGCAGAGAACUGGUGAGGGCUUCACUGCUUCAGCCGUGUGGCCGGUGGCGGACUGGCAGAGAACUGGGUGAGGACUGUGGUAAGGGCUUGACUGACUGACUGAGCCUCAAUGUUUUGUUACUGAAGGACUUUUCCGCCUUAGAAAUGAAGGACUCUAUACUUCAUGCCUGAUGCCACUGAGGGCUUGAGCACUGAGGGCUUGAGCUUAACUUGUCACUGAGGGCUUGAGCUUAACUGAGGAGUGAGGAGUCCUGCAGGUAUACUAGUAAAGGAAAGGAAAGGAAAGGAGUUAGUGAGGCUGUGAGGAGGCGGACAGACUAAUGAAAAUGAAACCCUAGUAUUACUAGACUAAAGGGUAUACUAGUAAAUUAGUAAACCCUUAUUGGGUUAUCGGUUUACCCAAUAACAGAUUUGAUAAACCGAGCCCGAACCGAUAACCCAAUAAGAAAUUUUUUUUAACCCGUUACCGAACCAUUAGCCCAAUAACCCAAUACCGAUAACCCAAUAAGUAAUUAACGGUUCGGGUUAUCGGUUUUACCCGAUAUAUGCCCACCCCUAAGUAAUAUUGUUGACUGCAUUAACUCCAUACAUAUAGUUAAAGGAGCUUGUAAUCAAAGUUACUUCUAAUCCAACACUUAUGUGUUGUUGUAAUGAAAUAUCUUGACGAAAAAAAAGGUUGUUGUACCUUUUACAUUAUAGUUUAUGUCAGAUUUUUGUUAGUUUUUAGUAAGACAAAUGUUGCUUUAACCCGCUCAUAUUAUAUAUGUAUUUCUUUGUAAUUUCUAAUUUCAUCUUAAAUGUGUAGAAAAAUGCAGGUGAUCCAAUUGGAAAUGUUGGCCACAAGUCCAAUUUAAUCUAUUGAAGUGAAUGAUGAAGACUUUUUCAAUAAUUGUGAUAUUUAUUUUCAUCUAUGUGAAUACAUUCGGUUUUUUAUAGUUUGUUGCUAGUUCACAUCUUGAAACAAAGCUUUAUUAAUGUGUAGUACAUGAAAUAUAUUUCUGCUUUGAAGUUCAGUGGAAUUGUUGUUUUUUUCUUUUGGUUAUUUGUUGUGUAAUUUAAUGCUUG
This 1486-nucleotide long non-coding RNA is filed under the name Nicotiana tabacum (common tobacco). RNAcentral's name for it is "long non-coding RNA (NTAB_LNC016170)". Lineage: Eukaryota; Viridiplantae; Streptophyta; Magnoliopsida; Solanales; Solanaceae. The record is from RNAcentral.